CUACCUUCGGAUGGGGAAUAACAAUCGGAAACGGUUGCUAAUACCGCAUAAUGCAGCGGCACCUAAUGGUGACAGUUGUUAAAGCGGGGGAUCGCAAGACCUCGCGCCUGAAGAGAAGCCUGCGGCAGAUUAGCUAGUUGGUAAGGUAAUGGCUUACCAAGGCGACGAUCUGUAACCGGCCUGAGAGGGCGGUCGGUCACACUGACACUGACAUACGGGUCAG
RNAcentral lists this ribosomal RNA (223 nucleotides) under uncultured bacterium. RNAcentral's name for it is "partial 16S ribosomal RNA". It matches the Rfam family "Bacterial small subunit ribosomal RNA", at positions 126 to 334 of the family's 1533-position model. The record is from RNAcentral.